RNAcentral lists this long non-coding RNA (203 nucleotides) under Selaginella moellendorffii. RNAcentral describes it as "long non-coding RNA (SMOE_LNC001468)". Lineage: Eukaryota; Viridiplantae; Streptophyta; Lycopodiopsida; Selaginellales; Selaginellaceae. The record is from RNAcentral.
CGAAGAUUCGUGAACUUUGCUUGGUUCUCUUGUUAGUGCUGAAAAUCAGGAGUUCUUUCUCGAAGAAGAUCCAGGGCACUGCUGUGAGCUAAUGCUGUGAUGAUCGGCAUCGUUGUUAGAAUGGUGGUGAAGGUGGUAAAUCGCUACUUUGCGAAAAGCAAGAUUGAGCAUGUUUGUGACACGGAAGAAAAGUGUGCAAAAGC